ACUAUUUUGACAGAAAAAUGUAAUGAUUUUAGAAUUCAUAAAUAUAUAAUUUAAUUAUAUAGAUAGUA
This 68-nucleotide transfer RNA is filed under the name Lista haraldusalis. RNAcentral describes it as "tRNA-Leu". Lineage: Eukaryota; Metazoa; Arthropoda; Insecta; Lepidoptera; Pyralidae. The record is from RNAcentral. RNAcentral also lists the same sequence under 1 other name.